GAGGAUGUAGCUCAGUGGUAGAGCGCCGGAUGAAAAUCCGGAAGUCAUGGGUUCGACUCCCGUCUUCUUCUCCA
RNAcentral lists this transfer RNA (74 nucleotides) under Hyphomicrobiales bacterium. RNAcentral's name for it is "Rhizobiales bacterium (stromatolite metagenome) tRNA-OTHER". It matches the Rfam family "tRNA". Rfam says of the family: Transfer RNA (tRNA) molecules are approximately 80 nucleotides in length. Lineage: Bacteria; Pseudomonadati; Pseudomonadota; Alphaproteobacteria; Hyphomicrobiales. The record is from RNAcentral.